GACGAACGCUGGCGGCGUGCUUAACACAUGCAAGUCGAACGGAAAAACCCUGCUUUUGUGGGUUUCUCGAGUGGCGAACGGGUGAGUAACACGUGAGUAACCUGCCCUUGACUUUGGGAUAACUUCAGGAAACUCGGGCUCAUACCGGAUAGGAGCUCCUGCUGCAUGGUGGUGGUUGGUAAGUUUCGGCUGUUGGGGCUGUACUCGAGGCUUAUCAGCUUGUUGGUGUGGUAGUGGCUGACCAGGGCUGUGACGGGUAGCCGGCCUGAGAGGGUUACCGGGGACAAUGGGACUGCGAUACGGCCCAGAAGCGUACGGGAGGCAGCAGUGGGGAAUAUGGCACAAUGGGCGGAAGCCAGAGGUAGCAACGCUGGGUGCGGGAUGACGGCUUUCGGGUUGUAAACAGCUGUCGCAUGAGACGAAGCGGGAGUGACGGUAAUGGGUAAAGAAGCACCGGCUAACUACGUG
This 468-nucleotide ribosomal RNA is filed under the name uncultured bacterium. RNAcentral describes it as "partial 16S ribosomal RNA". It matches the Rfam family "Bacterial small subunit ribosomal RNA", at positions 28 to 507 of the family's 1533-position model. The record is from RNAcentral.